AAAUCCCGACUUCGGAAGGGAUGUAUUUAUUAGAUUAAAAACCAAUGCCCUUCGGGGCUCUCUGGUGAUUCAUGAUAACUUCUCGAAUCGCAUGGCCUUGCGCCGGCGAUGGUUCAUUCAAAUUUCUUCCCUAUCAACUUUCGAUGUUUGGGUAUUGGCCAAACAUGGUUGCAACGGGUAACGGAGGGUUAGGGCUCGACCCCGGAGAAGGAGCCUGAGAAACGGCUACUACAUCCAAGGAAGGCAGCAGGCGCGCAAAUUACCCAAUCCCGACUCGGGGAGGUAGUGACAAUAAAUACUGAUACAGGGUUCUUUUGGAUCUUGUAAUUGGAAUGAGUACAAUUUAAAUCCCUUAACGAGGAACAAUUGGAGGGCAAGUCUGGUGCCAGCAGCCGCGGUAAUUCCAGCUCCAAUAGCGUAUAUUAAAGUUGUUGUGGUUAAAAAGCUCGUAGUUGAACCUUGGGCCUGGCUGGCCGGUCCGCCUCACCGCGUGUACUGGUCCGGCCGGGCCUUUCCCUCUGUGGAACCCUAUGCCCUUCACUGGGUGUAGCGGGGAAACAGGACUUUUACUUUGAAAAAAUUAGAGUGCUCCAGGCAGGCCUUUGCUCGAAUACAUUAGCAUGGAAUAAUAAAAUAGGACGUGUGGUUCUAUUUUGUUGGUUUCUAGGACCGCCGUAAUGAUUAAUAGGGACAGUCGGGGGCAUCAGUAUUCAAUUGUCAGAGGUGAAAUUCUUGGAUUUAUUGAAGACUAACUACUGCGAAAGCAUUUGCCAAGGAUGUUUUCAUUAAUCAGGAACGAAAGUUAGGGGAUCGAAGACGAUCAGAUACCGUCGUAGUCUUAACCAUAAACUAUGCCGACUAGGGAUCGGACGAUGUUAAAAAUUGACUCGUUCGGCACCUUACGAGAAAUCAAAGUGC
Molecule: ribosomal RNA, 918 nt
Filed under: Clonostachys rosea
Lineage: Eukaryota; Fungi; Ascomycota; Sordariomycetes; Hypocreales; Bionectriaceae
Description: SSU rRNA
Rfam family: Eukaryotic small subunit ribosomal RNA
Source: RNAcentral